UAUCCUCUAAGGUUUAAAAGGAUCACAGCAAGCAGUGUUUGUACCUUUUGAAUACCUAGGGAAUUAUUUACAUUUUGAGGACUCCGAUCUGAUUGUUCACGUGUCGUGCUUCUGAAUUAACUGUGUGCAGACAAAAGAGACGUAUUGAAACGUUGUGCCAAAUUCUGCAGAUAUUAAACUUCAAUAUCAAGUUAUAAGAAUUAUAAGGAGCGGACUACCGAAGCGUGCGUCUUAAAAUUAUUGCAGGAGAAUUAUAGACCUUGACCGAUUACACGCGGUGCCUUUGAGGGAAAGCUGAAGAAGUGCAAAUAAGUCAAAGAUUCCGCAACCACCGAUUCAUCAUGGGUUCUUCUCUAGUUGUUCUUGGUGCCAUCCUCCUCGUGUGUUUCCCCGUGGCGGGUGCAGCGGCAUCCGAGAGUUACUCCUAUCAGAACACAGGGGAUAUUCUAAAUGUGACCCUAUCGAAAGAUACGGUCUCAAAGGAAAAUUCUACCGAAUUCCCGAAAUCCGGAUACCAUGGCGACCCACACGCAACUGCAAAAAUUUGGGGCUUCUCUUGCCUGGCCGUGUUCAUC
Lingula anatina is the source of this 575-nucleotide long non-coding RNA. Lineage: Eukaryota; Metazoa; Brachiopoda; Lingulata; Lingulida; Lingulidae. The record is from RefSeq and is a predicted model, not a curated record.